AUGGCAGGACCACAUCAAAACAUCAGCAAUGACAACAAUGAAGAAAGAGACAGAUUUAGUGGCAAACCUCCAGUCUUUGAUGGAGAGAACUUUGAUUACUGGAAAGACAGAAUUGAAAGCUUCUUUCUGGGGGAUAUGGUGACUGAUAGAUACACGCACCCAGUGAAUGCAAGUGGUCAGAAGAUUGACAGGAAAGCAAUGUCUGAUCAACAAAAGCGUGAUUUCAGAAAUCAUCACAAAGCAAGAACAAUUCUUCUCAGUGCCAUCUCUUAA
Non-coding RNA from Vicia faba (fava bean), 273 nucleotides. NCBI's taxonomy places the organism in Eukaryota, Viridiplantae, Streptophyta, Magnoliopsida, Fabales, Fabaceae. The record is from the annotation of a GenBank genome assembly.